AUGGAGCUGCCGGAGCCGGACCUGACGGCGUCGGCGUCGCUGCAGGUGCAGCAGCAGUUCUACCAUGAAGCCGGCACGAAGAUGGCGGUGUUCAUGGGAUGCGAGAGCGGCGAGGUCGAGAUCGGGCUGUCGACUACAUCGGUGGCAGCGGCGGCCGUGGCGGAUCACGUGCACCAGUCGUUCCUGGAGGACCUCCUCCAGCUGCCGCCGGCAGGGCUGUCGUCUUCGUCCUCUCCCGUGCCGUCACUCUCGAUCGGGAGCCCGGAGUACUCCUCUCUCAUUCGCGCAAUGGCGACGCCGGUAGCAGCGCCGGGCGAGUCGUCCACGCAACCACCGAUGAUGCAGGCGUCGCCGCUGCCCGGCUUGCUCGCUCCGAUCGCCGAAGCCAACGACUACGCCUUAAUGGUGCAGGCAAUGCUCGCGGUCGUCCCCUCCUCUGCCAGCCACCGCUCGCAGCGAUCGUCGCCGCGGCGGACGACGGCGUUCAAGCCGUAUCGCGCGGCGCUCCCGCCAAGGGCGCGGCCACGGCCAGGCGCGCCGGGGCAGAGGAUGAUCAAGACGUGCAUCUCCCUCCUGGCAAGCGUGCACAUGGCAAUGCGCAACCGGCCGGAGCACGCCACGGCGCGCCGCGAGGACAGCAGCGCGCCGUCCACCACCAGCCAGCUGCACCACGUGAUCUCGGAGCGGCGCCGGCGCGAGCGGCUCAACGACAGCUUCCAGACACUCAGAGCUCUGCUCCCUCCCGGAUCCAAGAAAGACAAGGCCAACGUUCUUGCGAGCACGACGGAGUACAUGGCGAAGCUGGUAUCCCAGGUGACCCAGCUCCGAGAGAGGAACCUGCAGCUCGAGGCGCAGCUCGGCCUGAACCAAAGUGCAAGCGAUGAUAACCCCUCGGGGAAGACAGUCGAGGUCGAGGUGACCACCGGGGCGUCGACGUCGACAUCGACGGCGCCGAGUCAGCAGCCGCGGGAGGUGAGCGUGCGGGUGACGGUGCGGGCGGAGUGCGACAUGUCGGAGGUGCUGACCUCGCUGCUAGCUCGGCUCAAGGACACGGGGAGUUUCGCGGUGGUGUCUGUGGAGGCGAGACAGCAGAGCAGCGCGCUUGCACGGGCCAGCCUGACGUUGCGGAUGACGGAGGUUGGCGACGUCGUCGACGAGGCAUGGCUCGAGGAAGCUCUGGCGAAGGUUGUCGAGGACGCGGUGAUGAAGACGCCGCCGGUGCCACCCCCAAGGUCGCCGUAG
RNAcentral lists this ribosomal RNA (1242 nucleotides) under Triticum aestivum (bread wheat). RNAcentral describes it as "partial small subunit ribosomal RNA". Lineage: Eukaryota; Viridiplantae; Streptophyta; Magnoliopsida; Poales; Poaceae. The record is from RNAcentral.